GAUGAACGCUGGCGGCGUGCCUAAUACAUGCAAGUCGAGCGAACAGAUGAGGAGCUUGCUCCUCUGACGUUAGCGGCGGACGGGUGAGUAACACGUGGAUAACCUACCUAUAAGACUGGGAUAACUUCGGGAAACCGGAGCUAAUACCGGAUAAUAUAUUGAACCGCAUGGUUCAAUAGUGAAAGACGGUUUUGCUGUCACUUAUAGAUGGAUCCGCGCCGCAUUAGCUAGUUGGUAAGGUAACGGCUUACCAAGGCAACGAUGCGUAGCCGACCUGAGAGGGUGAUCGGCCACACUAGAACUGGGACACGGUCAAGACUCCUACGGGAGGCAGCAGUAGGGAGUCUUCCGCAAUGGGCGAAAGCCUGACGGGGCAACGCCGCGUGAGUGAUGAAGGUCUUCGGAUCGUAAAACUCUGUUAUUAGGGAAGAACAAAUGUGUAAGAAACUAUGCACGUCUUGACGGUACCUAAUCAGAAAGCCACGGCAAACUAC
This 494-nucleotide ribosomal RNA is filed under the name uncultured bacterium. Its description in RNAcentral is "partial 16S ribosomal RNA". It matches the Rfam family "Bacterial small subunit ribosomal RNA", at positions 28 to 504 of the family's 1533-position model. The record is from RNAcentral.